UUAUUAGGCAGGCAGUUUGACUGGGGCGGUCGCCUCCUAAAAGGUAACGGAGGCGCCCAAAGGUUCCCUCAGAAUGGGUGGAAAUCAUUCGCAGAGGGUAAAGGCACAAGGGAGCUUGACUGCGAGACCUACAAGUCGAGCAGGGACGAAAGUCG
Molecule: ribosomal RNA, 155 nt
Filed under: Bacillus obstructivus
Lineage: Bacteria; Bacillati; Bacillota; Bacilli; Caryophanales; Bacillaceae
Description: partial 23S ribosomal RNA
Rfam family: Bacterial large subunit ribosomal RNA
Source: RNAcentral